This 986-nucleotide ribosomal RNA is filed under the name Escherichia coli. RNAcentral describes it as "partial 23S ribosomal RNA". It matches the Rfam family "Bacterial large subunit ribosomal RNA", at positions 165 to 1192 of the family's 2925-position model. The record is from RNAcentral. Lineage: Bacteria; Pseudomonadati; Pseudomonadota; Gammaproteobacteria; Enterobacterales; Enterobacteriaceae.
CAUAGGUUAAUGAGGCGAACCGGGGGAACUGAAACAUCUAAGUACCCCGAGGAAAAGAAAUCAACCGAGAUUCCCCCAGUAGCGGCGAGCGAACGGGGAGGAGCCCAGAGCCUGAAUCAGUGUGUGUGUUAGUGGAAGCGUCUGGAAAGGCGCGCGAUACAGGGUGACAGCCCCGUACACAAAAAUGCACAUAUUGUGAGCUCGAUGAGUAGGGCGGGACACGUGGUAUCCUGUCUGAAUAUGGGGGGACCAUCCUCCAAGGCUAAAUACUCCUGACUGACCGAUAGUGAACCAGUACCGUGAGGGAAAGGCGAAAAGAACCCCGGCGAGGGGAGUGAAAAAGAACCUGAAACCGUGUACGUACAAGCAGUGGGAGCCUCUUAAUGGGGUGACUGCGUACCUUUUGUAUAAUGGGUCAGCGACUUAUAUUCUGUAGCAAGGUUAACCGAAUAGGGGAGCCGAAGGGAAACCGAGUCUUAACUGGGCGUUAAGUUGCAGGGUAUAGACCCGAAACCCGGUGAUCUAGCCAUGGGCAGGUUGAAGGUUGGGUAACACUAACUGGAGGACCGAACCGACUAAUGUUGAAAAAUUAGCGGAUGACUUGUGGCUGGGGGUGAAAGGCCAAUCAAACCGGGAGAUAGCUGGUUCUCCCCGAAAGCUAUUUAGGUAGCGCCUCGUGAAUUCAUCUCCGGGGGUAGAGCACUGUUUCGGCAAGGGGGUCAUCCCGACUUACCAACCCGAUGCAAACUGCGAAUACCGGAGAAUGUUAUCACGGGAGACACACGGCGGGUGCUAACGUCCGUCGUGAAGAGGGAAACAACCCAGACCGCCAGCUAAGGUCCCAAAGUCAUGGUUAAGUGGGAAACGAUGUGGGAAGGCCCAGACAGCCAGGAUGUUGGCUUAGAAGCAGCCAUCAUUUAAAGAAAGCGUAAUAGCUCACUGGUCGAGUCGGCCUGCGCGGAAGAUGUAACGGGGCUAAACCAUGC